UUUUUAAAGAUAACAGUCUCACUCUCCACAAAUGACGUUCAGCAAACAGCCACCAUCCAUCUGAACAGUAAUUUAGCGUGCAUGUCUGGAAAUGUCACUGGCCAUUCCGCAUACACCACUAUAAUACAAACAUGAUCUUCACCAAAUUCUCCCUCUUUAUCACUUCUUUUCCUAACCCCUUAACAGCCAUUCAUGGUAGAAUUGCUUGGGCUUAUUAGCACCCAGGCCCAACAACAGAUGAUUGGUCGUCCAUGUUAACUGCUGUAUCAGGUUCAGUAUCAGCUUUGGUUGCUUUAAUCUCUUCAUUGACUGGGAGUUUAAUCUUGGGUGAUAACUUCUUGACUUCCUCGGAUGUAUAUAUGAAAAUCUUCCUCACCAUGCUGCAGAACUCGUGCCAUGGGUCGUCCCCAACCAUCAUCAUGUCAUCUUCAUCAUCAGUAUAGACAACUUGCCAUUUCUUUGUUGAUCCACUGAGCUCACCUUCAAUGUCAAACAUAUCCUCUAGCUUCCUAAGCAAGUCCUCAUAAGACUCAAACCGUGUCAAAUCAACAGCUCUACCAACAGCAAUUCCCUGCAUGUGAACUUUUGUGCAGCUUCUGAUUUGACGGCUUUGCAACUCUUGAGGAGAUCUCAGGCAUGAUUUCUCAGGCUCACAACUUACUGAAGGGAUUUCAGAUCGAUUAACAUUUGAUGGCUCAGAAUGCCGAUCAGAUUCAGCAUCCAAAGACACAAUAGGGCAAUCAUCCACCAUUCCAGAUGUAACAGGUAAUGGUGAAGUUUGUUCCACAUUGGAGUUGUCAACAAGUUGAAUCCCGAAAAGCCUGUAACCAGUUCCUGUGCUUUGUUUUCUCUCUCCAGAAUCUUUGUUAAUGACUGGGACAACAGAAUCUGUAACACUUUCCACCCGGUUAGGCCAAUACAUUGAAUUGGGGGAAACGGCAGGCAAUGGACUAUUGCCACAAAAGCCAAGAGAUUUGGCCUUUGCAGUUGUAGAGAAAUUGGGAGAUGGAUAAAGAUCCCGUCCACGAUGAGAGUCACCAUAUGAUAAAGCAGGAGACUCAGUUGGGGGUUUCCACAUACCAAGUGCAGACAAAUCUG
RNAcentral lists this unclassified non-coding RNA (1098 nucleotides) under Hevea brasiliensis (rubber tree). Lineage: Eukaryota; Viridiplantae; Streptophyta; Magnoliopsida; Malpighiales; Euphorbiaceae. The record is from RNAcentral.